Nerophis ophidion (straightnose pipefish) is the source of this 1966-nucleotide long non-coding RNA. RefSeq lists it as uncharacterized. The transcript has 3 exons. The record is from RefSeq and is a predicted model, not a curated record. NCBI's taxonomy places the organism in Eukaryota, Metazoa, Chordata, Actinopteri, Syngnathiformes, Syngnathidae.
UAAAACAAUGAUUUAUGACCCUCAAGGUCAAAGGUCAAUGAUUUAUGAGGGGUCAAGUUCAAAGGUUAAUGAUUUAUGAGGGGGUCAAGGUUAAAGGUCAAAGUCAAAGGUCAGGUUCAAAUGUCAGGUUCAAAUGUCAAGGUCAAGUGGGUGUGGCUUACCCGGAAGAGGGUGGAGUUAAGACCUGCGGUGGGAGUGGUUAAACCAGGAAGAGGGUGGAGUUUUAAACAGAAAGAGGGCAGAGUUAAGACCUGCGGUGGGAGUGGUUAAACCAGGAAGAGGGUGGAGUUAAGACCUGACAGGGAACAGAGGAGGGUUCAGUUUUUUUUAAGAAAGCAAUGUCAUCUGAGCAGCAUGUGACCAUAUAUUUGAUAGUUUAAAUGUUUACGAUCGUUUGAAACAACUUCCAGAUUUCGAUGUAUUGAUGGCUGGGAAUGUUACGUGUGGAGAUGUGGACACGCACGCACUUCACACACACACACACACACACACACACACACACACACACACACACACACACACACACACACACACACACACACAUUCGUACGCACUGUUAUUACCAUGUUAUUAGACAUUGUCUUAGUCAUUAUUUGGAGCUUUAUACGUUAGCGUAAAGACUUUGUUCGAUUCGGUCAUGAUUUGUGAAACGCCUGUUUCGAUUGAUAAAAAUAAUAAAACUUACAUUGACGCUCCGCAAAAAAGUCGAGUGUUUCUAAAUCGUAUUCAGUUUUCAGCUAAAAGAAAGAAGAGACGGAAGCCCUUUCUCGAUAUUUUCAUCGUUAUCUACCGUGGAUUGGGAAGUUUUUGGUGGACACGCACACACGCACACACACGCACACACACACACACUUCACACACACACACACACACACACACACACACACACACACACACACACACACACACACACACACACACACACACACACACACACACACACACACACACACACACACACACACACACACAUUCGUACGCACUGAAACAACUUCCGUACCUCACGAAAACAUAUUUAAACAGAUGGAAAAAACUAUCGCAGAACACAGUGUCACGUAGCAACUGGUCUUUACGGUCGUUUGAAUCAACAGGUCAGUUUGGGGGACAAAAGGAGGGUUCAGUUUUUACUGACUUCCCAUCUGACAGUUUAAAUGUUUAUGACCGUUUGAAUCAACAGGACACGCACGCACACACACACACACGCACGCACACACACACACACACACACAUACACACACACACGCACACACACACACACACACACACACACACACACACACCAUUACCUCUGCUUUACCAUGUUAUUAGACAUUGGUUUAACUCCAUUUAAGCAUUUAAACGUUAAAAGCAUUGCACUUGUACGACGUUGUAAUACUUUUUUUUUACCAGCCGAUGACGACGAAGUGAAAGACGAUGAACUUUGCUUAAACAGUCUUACAAAGUUGGAAGAUGAUUAUCGAGGUGUGUUUAAACCUUCGAAUUAUUUAAUAUUGUGUGUAUUCAUUAUUUUGUUUUAUAGAGGAUUUGCCGUAAGAUCCUAACGCGAUCGUUUUAACACAAUCGCAGUCUGCUGGCGGGUCCGUCAACGGCCGUUCCAGGCAGAGGAGAAGGCUUGAUUGUGCCAAAGACUCCAGACAUCGAAUCCUUGCUCCGAGGGGAAAUCAUCGAAAACGACGGUGAAUGUCCAACAGGCACCCGCUAUUGGUAACACUGGACAAGUCGGAUAUCCUUGCUUGGAUCCUUUUAAAGUUGCCCGAUAAACUGCUGAGAGUUGAUCUCUCCUCUUGUCCAAAGGUUUUUCGUUCAUUUUUACUUGUAAUACUGGCACUAGGGUUGAUGUAGUAGCUCCACAACAUAACCUUAAAGCCUGUGACUGGAUCCGGUCUAUUUUCCCAAGUCAUGUUUUUGAAGCAGAUUGGUAAAUAAUGCAUCCGUAAUCAAUAACAGAUGGAAUUAAAGUUAUAAA